Molecule: long non-coding RNA, 1863 nt
Filed under: Pomacea canaliculata
Lineage: Eukaryota; Metazoa; Mollusca; Gastropoda; Architaenioglossa; Ampullariidae
Description: uncharacterized LOC112572467
Source: RNAcentral
UGAGGAGGACUGUGAGGUGAGCUAAGGAGAGGAUGUCAGCUUCCAAUUGUAAAAGUCAAGUGGUCCCAGGUAUUUUGCAAGAGGACCCCGUGGGAGCCAAUCCCGUGACGGAGUGAAGGUGAACAAAGGCCAUGGCCAGACUGAGCCCCAAGUAGUGCAGAAGAUCAGUCACACCUUUCUUGUCAAGGCUUUUCAUAGUAUUCACACCCACAGGUUCUCUCUUACCGCCAGCGAGGCCAGGUGAGAUAAGUACUUGUAGAUUGGUCAUCAGACUGACGAGACACUUGUUGUGACCUACAAACAUGAGUCUGCUGCCGAGAGUUCUUGCACCUGCCAUGCUGCUUACAGACUUCCGCACAUGACACUUUCUGUCCAGACAGAGAUUGCACGUGAAGGUACAGUCUGUAUGUCAUGCUGUUCACACAACUGAUAUCUACCUGCUUAAUGUGAUUAAUGGUGUCUUUACUACACUGGAUAUCGGUGAUAACUCUCUCCUUACCAUGCAUUUGUCUGCGACUUUUGACACAAAUAAUCACACUUUGAACGAAUAGCAGGGCUGAGUCUUGUGAGCCGUGUGACGAGAUGUGAGGAGAGUGAAUGACAUGUGUACGCAAAGUGCGAGUAAUGUACGUAACAUGUGAAAAUUGUGAACGUGUGAGAGUUUAAGUGACGUGUGAAUAAUGCACUAAUAUGUGAACUUUGUAGUAACGUCGCGUGCUGGACCCGGCUGUAUGAAGGAUGGGAACCAGUGUUUGGUAUACUACAGCAAUAUCAACAACAGCACAUCGCCAUGAUCACCAGAGACCGACACAUUAGACUAAUGCCACCUAGUGUCGCCGUAAACGACUGCAACAGCAACCUGAGACAAACCACGUGACAAACGUGUGACAGCAAGCAGGGCUGAGACAAGAGUACAAGGACUUCAUCACACAAGGCUGAGGGGUUAGAGCACUGAGAUCGAAUUCCGAAGCACGGACACGAUAUCCGUCUGGUAGAGCACACGUCAACAGUCGGCUCAGGUGUUGGUCACGGAAGCCUGACUCCACAAGGGAGUGGUGAGGGUAAAGCAAAGAGGGAGUGGGGAUAGGCACCCAGCACGAGCUAGCACCGAAAAGAUUGAGUUUACCCACCUUUUGUUUUGAAAAAAAUGUUACAAAAAGUUAGGGCAUGACCUUUACCCUCUUAACCUCAAAACACACCAAUGUAGCCACGAUCACACACUUUAUAAUAAACACUUGUCAUCGUUCGAUAAUCCUGAUUACAAAAUCCACCUGCGGUCGAUAAAAAUACAAUAAAGUCCUUACAGUGAUUAUUUCUCCAUGUUAUAUAUCAUAGUAAAAUCAUACACCUAGACUUUAUUAUUUAUAAGAACCAUUACUCUAGUCUAAAUAAUGUUAGGCUCUCCACUUUUCGAGGGAUUUUGUUUGCAUAAAAUUCACACCCUCCUCCGAUAAACAUUGUGGAACAGCUUAUAAAGUGAUAACUUAGGUGAAUAAUAUUUUUAACUGAAAAACUCAUGCUGUAUUCACAUACUCCUCACCAGUAAAACUUUAGCCUCUCUGUUUACCUCGAAUGAGUGGACAUCAUCUCCAUAAAAAUUACCACAAAUAAACCCAAAGAGAAAAAUAUUUACAGCACGUAAGCGCAAAACAGAAACAUUCGAUUAAAUCCUAGUUCCUAUGCUUCUUUACUAGAUUACAGCAGUUCACACCCAACCACCUUAAAGUCAAACAAAUAAUAACAUCUAUUGAAAUGCUUCAAAGCCUUUUCUUUUUAAUAAAACUGACAAUAUAGAACUAUUUAAAAAAAUAAAAUUAGCACUGAUGAAAAUAGCAAUGCUGAAUUUUGUAAGUUAUCAGUGCG